UCUGUUUUAUUUGAUCCUCACUACAACUUUGAAAAGAAGACAGAGAACAUAUUACCAUCCCAAUUUUGCAGAUGAGCAAACUUAAGAUCCAAAGAAAUGGAUCACAACAAACUAUUGGAACCUUGGAGAUUCCAGUCACUUUUUCUGAGGGCUCUUAGACAGUUAACCAAAACUGUGUGGAAAAACAGGAAUUACAGAGAGGUUAAUGACUGUAUCUGAAAGCACACAGCACGCCCUCAUCGGAAAGAGCUGAAAAUACA
Odocoileus virginianus texanus is the source of this 260-nucleotide non-coding RNA. The record is from RefSeq and is a predicted model, not a curated record. NCBI's taxonomy places the organism in Eukaryota, Metazoa, Chordata, Mammalia, Artiodactyla, Cervidae.